UACAGAGGGUGCAAGCGUUAAUCGGAAUUACUGGGCGUAAAGCGUGCGUAGACGGUUAAGUAAGUCGGGUGUGAAAGCCCCGGGCUCAACCUGGGAAUUGCAUUCGAGACUGAAUAGCUAGGGUACGGUAGAGGGAAGCGGAAUUUCCGGUGUAGCGGUGAAAUGCGUAGAUAUCGGAAGGAACAUCAGUGGCGAAAGCGGCUUCCUGGACCAGUACCGACGUUCAGGCACGAAAGCGUGGGGAGCAAACAGG
This 253-nucleotide ribosomal RNA is filed under the name uncultured bacterium. RNAcentral's name for it is "partial 16S ribosomal RNA". It matches the Rfam family "Bacterial small subunit ribosomal RNA", at positions 524 to 776 of the family's 1533-position model. The record is from RNAcentral.